Diabrotica virgifera virgifera (western corn rootworm) is the source of this 565-nucleotide long non-coding RNA. RefSeq lists it as uncharacterized. NCBI's taxonomy places the organism in Eukaryota, Metazoa, Arthropoda, Insecta, Coleoptera, Chrysomelidae. The record is from RefSeq and is a predicted model, not a curated record. The transcript is spliced from 2 exons.
AUUUCCACUUCCACUUCUUUUUUUUGGCUUGCAUACAAGUGCAUCUGCCAGCACAUUUCUUUCGUGUUGCAGUUGUCUUGCUCUUAGCAAUACUGCAGCACUCUAAAGACAAACAAGAAGAUUCUACGCUUUUUUUGACAAUUACUUAAUAUCAUGCCCCGCUCACUCUAAUAAAAAACAUGUAAUCGUAUUUAUUUUCCUUCCAUUUAGUCAGAGGCGCUAAUGUCGGCCUUGUGAUUGGUGGAACAUGACUUUUGACAAAUCCUGCGUUAUCUGUGAAUCUGUGUUCGUGUUCGCUCGUUCGUUGCCGUUCACUUAUUUUAUAUGGUCGUGGUCGGUUAUGUGAUGUGUUUGUGUCACCAUAAAAAGCUGAUAUUCAGUCGUGUUUUUUGAUAUUUUUGUUAUUUCAUAAUCGAGUACCUUUUUAAAGGUCUAAUGGCUCCGUUCAGCUGUUGUGUGCAGACGGUGGAAAAAUUCGACAAGUAAACAUUUAUUUAAUCCAAAUUACUUAUAUUUCUAUGUAAAAUGUCACAUUAUUGUUUAAAUAAAUAAGUAAGAAACAAAA